Scleropages formosus (Asian bonytongue) is the source of this 93-nucleotide transfer RNA. It matches the Rfam family "tRNA". Rfam says of the family: Transfer RNA (tRNA) molecules are approximately 80 nucleotides in length. Their secondary structure includes four short double-helical elements and three loops (D, anti-codon, and T loops). NCBI's taxonomy places the organism in Eukaryota, Metazoa, Chordata, Actinopteri, Osteoglossiformes, Osteoglossidae. The record is from Rfam.
GACUCUGUGGUGCAAUGGACAGCACAUUGGACUUCUAGUUGGAAACUUGAUGAAGUAAUCCAAAGGUUGUGGGUUCAAGUCCCACCAGAGUCA